This 75-nucleotide transfer RNA is filed under the name Sphaerodactylus townsendi. RNAcentral's name for it is "tRNA-Ala". The record is from RNAcentral. Lineage: Eukaryota; Metazoa; Chordata; Lepidosauria; Squamata; Sphaerodactylidae.
GGAGAAGCUGUGGGUCAGUGCUAGAGUAUCUGCUUUGCAUGCCUAAGGUCCAAGGUUCAAUUCCUGGCAUCUCCA